UGUGACUACUCCUGUCCCAAACAAAAAGUUUCCCUGACCCCUGCACUGGAAUCCCAGCUCCCAAGGCUGUCACUUCAUCUCACCCUGACACCCCAAGCCCCAGAUCAGGUGUGAGCUCCCCCUUCCUUGUACUGGGGUCAUGAUGGGUGGGUUUAGCUGGCUGCCCCACGGUUGAGCCCAAGGCAUGGCUGCCACCAUAUUGGCUCCUCUUUACAAAGCAAGUGUGACAGGUCCAGGGGCAGGAUCCCAUGGCAUUGCUGGCUCUGGGUUUUGGGUCUGAGAAUUGCUGUCUGUGGUUGGCACUGGCGACAGGUGCCACCGUUCCCCUUUCAGGCUGCACCACAGGGUUAGGGGAAUGAUCUUUACCUCCAGACAGCCCUCGGCUUCAACUGCACCAGAUAACGGCUGUGGCUUUGUGUGUGUUCUCUCCCGUCGUCCUUUUUUCUCUCUGAUCGUGUAAAGGAGAGGACUAGAAGGAGCGGUUCCCACCUCUCGGAGGACAACGGACCAAAAGCGAUCGAUGUGAUGGCGCCCUCCUCAGAGUAGGGAAAGCCAGUCAUCUCCAUCCCCUCCCGCCUCCUCGCGAAUGAGCAGUGCCCGGCUUAACCUGGCCCUUCUUGGGCCUACGUGCAGUGUCUGCAUGCCUCGUGUCCGUUUGUCCACAUGUCUGUUUGCGUCGUCCCACUAAUGUGGAUUUCAGCAGCAAGUGUGGUGUUUGUUUUUAUUCUUGUCUUUGUCUCCGUGCCGUUGCUGUCGUUGUCCUUCAAUAAGGUUGACUGCAUUCAGCCAGUGCCAAAAGAGGAGCCCAGUCCCGCUACCAAAUUCCAGUCCAUCGGGGUUCAGGUAGAGGACGACUGGCGGUAAGUUGGACAGAGGUGUGGUGGCUGCUAUUCCCCUCUCCUCUCCCUCCCUCCGCCCUCACCUCUCCUGCUCUCCCUAACCCACUUCUCCUUGCUGGAUUUCUAAUAACCCAAGCUGGGUGUGGGUGUGGGUGGUGGCUCAGGUGUGGGGGCUGGGCAGGGCAGGUGGGUGGACACACG
RNAcentral lists this long non-coding RNA (1040 nucleotides) under Rattus norvegicus (Norway rat). RNAcentral describes it as "long non-coding RNA NONRATT019869". The record is from RNAcentral. Lineage: Eukaryota; Metazoa; Chordata; Mammalia; Rodentia; Muridae.